CUUUGGGUGACGAGCGGCGGACGGGUGAGUAAUGUCUGGGAAACUGCCUGAUGCAGGGGGAUAACUACUGGAAACGGUAGCUAAUACCGCAUAACGUCUUCGGACCAAAGUGGGGGACCUUCGGGCCUCACGCCAUCAGAUGUGCCCAGAUGGGAUUAGCUAGUAGGUGGGGUAAUGGCUCACCUAGGCGACGAUCCCUAGCUGGUCUGAGAGGAUGACCAGCCACACUGGAACUGAGACACGGUCCAGACUCCUACGGCAGGCAGCAGUGGGGAAUAUUGCACAAUGGGCGCAAGCUUGAUGCAGCCAUGCCGCGUGUGUGAAGAAGGCCUUCGGGUUGUAAAGCACUUUAAGCGAGAAGGAGGGCUGAUGUGUUAAUAGCACAUCACAUUGACA
Molecule: ribosomal RNA, 396 nt
Filed under: Serratia sp. 19(2010)
Lineage: Bacteria; Pseudomonadati; Pseudomonadota; Gammaproteobacteria; Enterobacterales; Yersiniaceae
Description: bacterial SSU rRNA
Rfam family: Bacterial small subunit ribosomal RNA
Source: RNAcentral